Molecule: ribosomal RNA, 2904 nt
Filed under: Escherichia coli
Lineage: Bacteria; Pseudomonadati; Pseudomonadota; Gammaproteobacteria; Enterobacterales; Enterobacteriaceae
Description: 23S ribosomal RNA
Rfam family: Bacterial large subunit ribosomal RNA
Source: RNAcentral
GGUUAAGCGACUAAGCGUACACGGUGGAUGCCCUGGCAGUCAGAGGCGAUGAAGGACGUGCUAAUCUGCGAUAAGCGUCGGUAAGGUGAUAUGAACCGUUAUAACCGGCGAUUUCCGAAUGGGGAAACCCAGUGUGAUUCGUCACACUAUCAUUAACUGAAUCCAUAGGUUAAUGAGGCGAACCGGGGGAACUGAAACAUCUAAGUACCCCGAGGAAAAGAAAUCAACCGAGAUUCCCCCAGUAGCGGCGAGCGAACGGGGAGCAGCCCAGAGCCUGAAUCAGUGUGUGUGUUAGUGGAAGCGUCUGGAAAGGCGCGCGAUACAGGGUGACAGCCCCGUACACAAAAAUGCACAUGCUGUGAGCUCGAUGAGUAGGGCGGGACACGUGGUAUCCUGUCUGAAUAUGGGGGGACCAUCCUCCAAGGCUAAAUACUCCUGACUGACCGAUAGUGAACCAGUACCGUGAGGGAAAGGCGAAAAGAACCCCGGCGAGGGGAGUGAAAAAGAACCUGAAACCGUGUACGUACAAGCAGUGGGAGCCUCUUUUAUGGGGUGACUGCGUACCUUUUGUAUAAUGGGUCAGCGACUUAUAUUCUGUAGCAAGGUUAACCGAAUAGGGGAGCCGAAGGGAAACCGAGUCUUAACUGGGCGUUAAGUUGCAGGGUAUAGACCCGAAACCCGGUGAUCUAGCCAUGGGCAGGUUGAAGGUUGGGUAACACUAACUGGAGGACCGAACCGACUAAUGUUGAAAAAUUAGCGGAUGACUUGUGGCUGGGGGUGAAAGGCCAAUCAAACCGGGAGAUAGCUGGUUCUCCCCGAAAGCUAUUUAGGUAGCGCCUCGUGAAUUCAUCUCCGGGGGUAGAGCACUGUUUCGGCAAGGGGGUCAUCCCGACUUACCAACCCGAUGCAAACUGCGAAUACCGGAGAAUGUUAUCACGGGAGACACACGGCGGGUGCUAACGUCCGUCGUGAAGAGGGAAACAACCCAGACCGCCAGCUAAGGUCCCAAAGUCAUGGUUAAGUGGGAAACGAUGUGGGAAGGCCCAGACAGCCAGGAUGUUGGCUUAGAAGCAGCCAUCAUUUAAAGAAAGCGUAAUAGCUCACUGGUCGAGUCGGCCUGCGCGGAAGAUGUAACGGGGCUAAACCAUGCACCGAAGCUGCGGCAGCGACGCUUAUGCGUUGUUGGGUAGGGGAGCGUUCUGUAAGCCUGUGAAGGUGUACUGUGAGGUAUGCUGGAGGUAUCAGAAGUGCGAAUGCUGACAUAAGUAACGAUAAAGCGGGUGAAAAGCCCGCUCGCCGGAAGACCAAGGGUUCCUGUCCAACGUUAAUCGGGGCAGGGUGAGUCGACCCCUAAGGCGAGGCCGAAAGGCGUAGUCGAUGGGAAACAGGUUAAUAUUCCUGUACUUGGUGUUACUGCGAAGGGGGGACGGAGAAGGCUAUGUUGGCCGGGCGACGGUUGUCCCGGUUUAAGCGUGUAGGCUGGUUUUCCAGGCAAAUCCGGAAAAUCAAGGCUGAGGCGUGAUGACGAGGCACUACGGUGCUGAAGCAACAAAUGCCCUGCUUCCAGGAAAAGCCUCUAAGCAUCAGGUAACAUCAAAUCGUACCCCAAACCGACACAGGUGGUCAGGUAGAGAAUACCAAGGCGCUUGAGAGAACUCGGGUGAAGGAACUAGGCAAAAUGGUGCCGUAACUUCGGGAGAAGGCACGCUGAUAUGUAGGUGAAGUCCCUCGCGGAUGGAGCUGAAAUCAGUCGAAGAUACCAGCUGGCUGCAACUGUUUAUUAAAAACACAGCACUGUGCAAACACGAAAGUGGACGUAUACGGUGUGACGCCUGCCCGGUGCCGGAAGGUUAAUUGAUGGGGUUAGCGCAAGCGAAGCUCUUGAUCGAAGCCCCGGUAAACGGCGGCCGUAACUAUAACGGUCCUAAGGUAGCGAAAUUCCUUGUCGGGUAAGUUCCGACCUGCACGAAUGGCGUAAUGAUGGCCAGGCUGUCUCCACCCGAGACUCAGUGAAAUUGAACUCGCUGUGAAGAUGCAGUGUACCCGCGGCAAGACGGAAAGACCCCGUGAACCUUUACUAUAGCUUGACACUGAACAUUGAGCCUUGAUGUGUAGGAUAGGUGGGAGGCUUUGAAGUGUGGACGCCAGUCUGCAUGGAGCCGACCUUGAAAUACCACCCUUUAAUGUUUGAUGUUCUAACGUUGACCCGUAAUCCGGGUUGCGGACAGUGUCUGGUGGGUAGUUUGACUGGGGCGGUCUCCUCCUAAAGAGUAACGGAGGAGCACGAAGGUUGGCUAAUCCUGGUCGGACAUCAGGAGGUUAGUGCAAUGGCAUAAGCCAGCUUGACUGCGAGCGUGACGGCGCGAGCAGGUGCGAAAGCAGGUCAUAGUGAUCCGGUGGUUCUGAAUGGAAGGGCCAUCGCUCAACGGAUAAAAGGUACUCCGGGGAUAACAGGCUGAUACCGCCCAAGAGUUCAUAUCGACGGCGGUGUUUGGCACCUCGAUGUCGGCUCAUCACAUCCUGGGGCUGAAGUAGGUCCCAAGGGUAUGGCUGUUCGCCAUUUAAAGUGGUACGCGAGCUGGGUUUAGAACGUCGUGAGACAGUUCGGUCCCUAUCUGCCGUGGGCGCUGGAGAACUGAGGGGGGCUGCUCCUAGUACGAGAGGACCGGAGUGGACGCAUCACUGGUGUUCGGGUUGUCAUGCCAAUGGCACUGCCCGGUAGCUAAAUGCGGAAGAGAUAAGUGCUGAAAGCAUCUAAGCACGAAACUUGCCCCGAGAUGAGUUCUCCCUGACUCCUUGAGAGUCCUGAAGGAACGUUGAAGACGACGACGUUGAUAGGCCGGGUGUGUAAGCGCAGCGAUGCGUUGAGCUAACCGGUACUAAUGAACCGUGAGGCUUAACCUU